AGUUUAUGAACUUGUAAUUAAGUAUAUAUUUUGAAAAUAUAAAAAAGGAAGAUAUCUCCUAUAAACUU
RNAcentral lists this transfer RNA (68 nucleotides) under Dibolia occultans. RNAcentral's name for it is "tRNA-Ser". The record is from RNAcentral. Lineage: Eukaryota; Metazoa; Arthropoda; Insecta; Coleoptera; Chrysomelidae.